ACUCAAAGGAAUUGACGGGGGCCCGCACAAGCAGUGGAGUAUGUGGUUUAAUUCGAAGCAACGCGAAGAACCUUACCAGGGCUUGACAUCCCUUGACGAGUGUAGAGAUACACUUUCUCUUCGGAGCAAGGAGACAGGUGGUGCAUGGUUGUCGUCAGCUCGUGUCGUGAGAUGUUGGGUUAAGUCCCGCAACGAGCGCAACCCCUGUUGUUAGUUGCCAUCAUUAAGUUGGGCACUCUAACGAGACUGCCGGUGACAAAUCGGAGGAAGGUGGGGACGACGUCAAAUCAUCAUGCCCCUUAUGUCCUGGGCUACACACGUACUACAAUGGCUGUUACAGAGGGAAGCUAAUUCGCGAGGAGGAGCAAAUCCCCAAAGGCAGCCCCAGUUCGGAUUGCAGGCUGAAACUCGCCUGCAUGAAGUCGGAAUUGCUAGUAAUGGCAGGUCAGCAUACUGCCGUGAAUACGUUCCCGGGCCUUGUACACACCGCCCGU
RNAcentral lists this ribosomal RNA (494 nucleotides) under uncultured bacterium. RNAcentral describes it as "bacterial SSU rRNA". It matches the Rfam family "Bacterial small subunit ribosomal RNA", at positions 899 to 1397 of the family's 1533-position model. The record is from RNAcentral.